Long non-coding RNA from Orcinus orca (killer whale), 11396 nucleotides. RefSeq lists it as uncharacterized. The transcript has 6 exons. The record is from RefSeq and is a predicted model, not a curated record. NCBI's taxonomy places the organism in Eukaryota, Metazoa, Chordata, Mammalia, Artiodactyla, Delphinidae.
UUGUUUCAAGCUUGUGCAACUGGGAGGUGGAGGCGGAGGGAGGGCGCGAGCUGCCCGGCCUGGAGGUGCGGAAGUUCGCCGCCGCUGUUCAUUGGCAGGCAGCGCCGCUUUCAUCAUUUCUCAGAAAAGUCAAUUUCAUUUUCACUUACCCACGUCGCGGCAGCGGGAGCAACAAGCGGCUGCGCUAGCUGAGUGUGUAACCAUUUGAAGGGCAGCUGUCAUCAGGGACACCGCCUGGAGCUCUGUCUGGGGGCGAAAAGGAAGGCCUUCCCCUAGUAAGUCACCAGCAGCGUCCUCCCAGACUGAGUGUGCAACAGAAGUUCCCUCCCUGCAGGAUGAGAUGGGCAAGGCAUGCAGGGCUCUUAGUUCCCUGACCAGGAGUCGAACCUGUGCCCCCUGCAGUGGAAGCACGGAGUCUUACCCACUGGACCGCCGGGGAAGUCCCUCUAGAUGGACAUCCUAGGACCGUCUACCUGGAUGCAUCAGAACUCAUUUCUUUUCAAGGGAGUCGAGAAAGGACUGGUUACUUGGCCAUGCAGCAACUGACCUCUCCAUGAUUGAAGCUUAAAGAUACAUUCAAGGGACUUUGCUGGUGGCGCAGUGGUUAAGAAUCCACCUGCCAAUGCAGGGGACACAGGUUCGAGCCCUGGUCCGGGAAGAUCCCACAUGCCCCGGAGCAACUAAGCCUGUGCACCACAACUACUGAGCCUGCGCUCUAGAGCCCACGAACCACAACUACUGAGCCCGCAUGCCACAACUACUGAAGCCCGCGCAUCUAGAACCUGUGCUCCACAAGAGAAGCCACUGCAAUGAGAAGCCCGCGAACCGCAAUGAAGAGUAGCCCCUGCUUGCCACAACUAGAGAAAGCCCGUGCACAGCAAUGAAGACCCAACGCAGCCAAAAAUAAAUAAAAUUUUAAAAUUUUUUAAAAAUAAAUUUCCAGUUUGUAACAUAAAUUCAGCAAACCACAUAAUUCACUGAAUCUGAAUAUUUGAAGAAGUUUUGUUACAGCUUCCACCAUUUCCCUAUAAGCUCAUUCACAGCAUGUGAACCUUGAUGAUGUUCAGUCUGUUCUCUUUGUCCCAAAACUUCUGAGCAUUUUGAAUAACACACCUUAUCCUAUUGGAAAAUGUUUGGAAGUUUGCCAAUCAGAAAGACAGAAGAGUCAGAAAACAAAGGAUUGACAGUAUUUUUAAAUACUCCUACUUCCUCAGAAAGUUUCAUCUCCACUACAUCCAAAAGGUGCACGUACACCUCUCGGCGCUGCCUCCUUCUCCUGGAUGCAACUCCAAGACAUUUCCUAGCCGUGCUCCUCAGGUAAGAACAAGGCAAGACCAACCCCUGCUCUCCUGAAGCUUACAUUCUAGUGGGGGUGAUGUCAACAGACAGACAAACAAACCAAGAAAAUAGUUAAAGAUUUGUAUCCGUGUUCUGAGGGAAACAAACACGACUUUGGAUAGAAAAUACUGGGGGAUCUAGGUGGUCAAGGAAGGUUUCUCAAGGAGAAAAUGACAUUUAAGCCAAAACUUGGAGGAGAGGAGACUGUAUUCGUUUCCUGGGGCUGCCAUAACACAGUACCACAAGCCAGGUGGCGGAAGUAACAGAAACGCAUUGCCUCCCAGUUCUGGAAGCUGGAAGUCCCAGAUCAAGGUGUCCACAGGGUUGGCUCCUUCUGAGGGUUAUGGGGGAAGGAUCUGUUCCUUGCCUCCUGGCUUCUGGUGUUGGCCAGCAAUCCUGAGCAUUCUUUGGCUGGUAGCAGCAUCACUCCAUCUCUCCCUUCAUCUUCACGUGGUGUUCUCCCUGGAUGUGUGUCUGUAUCCAAAUUUCCCCGUUUUAUAGGGACUAGUCUUAUUGGAUUAGGGGCCCACCAUACUCCAAUAUGAUCUCAUCUUAAUUCAUUACAUCUGCAAAGACAAUCUGAGGUAUUGGGGGAUUAGGAUCUCAAUAUAUGAAUUUUGAGGGGGACAAACUUCAACACGUAACUGAUAUCAAUUGUGUGAUGAAGCCCCGAGCCAGGGGGAAGACUGAACACAAAGGCCAUGAAAAGCAAAAGGGUCUGGCAUAUUCUGGAAACCAAAAGAAGGUGAAUGUGACCUAAGAGUUCUGAAUGAGGGUAAGAAGGACACAGGCAGGUGGGCAGAGGCCAGAUCAAGGACUUUGGAUUUUAUUCUAAGAUCAAUGGGAAGAUUUUGAAGGGUUCUGUGGUUUUAAAAGGUCACGCUAUAAAUUUCCCAACUGUCCUUGGGAAUCCUUGUGAAAUGCAAGGAUUUCUUAAUUUGUGUAUUUCUCAGAAGAAUUUGUAACUGUUCUUGCACUGACCUCUCAGUUCAUUACAUGGUGAAUUUGUUGAGGAAACAAUGCAUUGGGGAUAUUUUGAAACAGUUUAAUUCUUUUUCAUUUCUUUUUGGCAUUCCUAAGGUAUUUCUUUCCCUUUAACUUUCUGUCUGAUUUUCAUCUCCACAAAUAAAUGAAGUAAAUUUUUACUUCAUUCUUCUUACCCUAUCCCCAUAAAAACUUCCCUUAAAAAAAAAAGAAGAUAUAUUCAACUGUGGAUUCCAGGCACGUGCUAUUUUCCUGUUUUGAGUGAAUGAUGAUAAUUUUCAGAGAUUGUGUCACCACAAAAUCAACAUUCAUUCCAAAAUUUAAUGGUUUCAAAUGUAUUUCUUUUUUUGAUUUCUAAAAAUUUUCAAAUUUCUUUUCCAUCAGAAACCCCUUGUGUGUAAUAAAUAGUUUCCACAAAACUGAAUUUUUGUUGGCAGAACAAUCGGCGUAAGUAAAACUUCACGAUUUGCCUUGGAUGUUUUGUAAUUUGAAAGCAAAUAUUGGUUUAAACAGCCCACCAUAUAUUUUGUCAAUGUCCAGCUGUGGAUGCUGGGUUUUUAGCACCACUUCUUUCCCGACAACCAAAAAAAAUAUAUCACUUUCUUUCCUGUUUUACAUAUUGAGGUUCUGCGUAAGAUUUCAUUUGGGGAAAAGGUUCUGUCGCUUUAAAAAAAAAAUGGAAAAAAGAUCAAAGCCACCAAUACUACUGGCAGUUAGUUUUGCUUCAUUUUCCUAUAACUGGAGAUAAGAAAGAAAACGCGACAAACCAUAAGUGAAGAACCUUAAGACUGAAGGAGAGAAAGAAAUACGCAGACCCAGGAACAGACGCCCGAGGGAGGGUUGAUGGGUGAGUUCAUGCUAGGUGGCUGGGCGGAGCCAGCCUCUGCGAAGGGGCCAACAUUGUAGGUUCACCCUCACUUGAGUUGCUCAGGUUGUCUCCAUAUUUCCUUGUUUUUAUUUCCUACCUUGAUGAGAACUUUUCAUCUUUUUAGGGAUGCAGAACCAACAGAUUCAUGACGACUCGUUUCACAAUGUAUGUGGUUGAUGCCAUGUUUAUAUGACACUUUUGACCAAGCCUUUUCCCUCAUUGAGAAAUUAGAGGAACACUACCCUAGCCCUGUCAUUUUCUACAAUGCUUACAAAUAUUUUACCACAUAUACACUCUUACUGGUAUUUCUGCUUAUGAUGAACUUAAGUAAGAUAGCAGGAAAUUUAUGCUCCAUUGAGGGUAAAAGGAAAACAAAGUUUUAUAUGUACAGUAAGGUCACCCUAAAGAUGUUCAUAUAAGUAAGGUGAAAAGGAACUACAUCAAAACAUUAAUAGUGGUUGUCUUUGAGGGAUGGAACUAUGGGUGAUUUUUUUCCUUUUGAAAAAUUAACAUUUUUAAGAAUAGAUUUUCCUUUUAUUAAUGUAAACAUUUUAAUAUAUUUUUAUAGGUGAUUUUAGAAAAUUAUUUCUUGAUAUGCUUAUGAUUUUUAUGUAAAGGACUUAUAAGGUUUUUUAAAAAUUAUUUUAUUUUUGGCUGCGUUGGGUCUUCGUUGCAGUGCGUGGGCUUCUCAUCGCGGUGGCUUCUCUUGUUGCGGAGCACAGCCUCUAGGUGUGCGGGCUUCAGUAGUUGUGGCUCGCGGGUUCUAGAGCACAGGCUCAGUAGUUGUGGCGCACAGGCUUAGUUGCUCAUGGCACGUGGGAUCUUCCCGGACCAGGGCUUAAACCUGUGUCCCCUGCAUUGGCAAGCGGAUUCUUAACCACUGCACCACCAGGGAAGCCCGACUUGUAAGUUUUAGCUAGUUUUAUCCUUGGGACUUCAAAAAACAAAGCACUGGUUAAUACAUCUUAUAUUUUACACUACAUUCUUAUAAGAAUUUUUAAAUCUCUGUGUAGAAGAUAAUUUUUUCCUACAAAUGCUAUAUAGUUUCUCCCAGUCUUUAAUUUUAUCAAAAUAUUCAUUUUUAAUGACUCUCCAAACAGGACUCUCCAAAGGAACAUAUAAAAACAAACUAACGUGUGUCCAGAUCAAUGGCUAUUAAUAAGUGAUACAUUCCAUAAUCAUUAUUAAUAUUUAAAUAAGCUUUUGCUUUGAUUCACAUCAUGUUUUAAAUAUGCCAUUUGAAAAAGUUUGACUUAGGAGAAAUCUAUAACAACUAAAGAAUCUCUUCUACUUGUAGUUUCAUUUCAUUUGUAUGCAAGAAUAUUACUAUAUUCUUAGCAAUCAAAUUCAAAUUCUUAGAUCUCAAACAUGAAUGAAGACUCUAAGCAAAUUAUCAAAAUUUUAUGUUAAAUUUUUUCUUUUUUUGCCUUUCUUCUUUCUGGCACUUCCACAUUUAGUCAUCAUAUUUCCUAUUUUACUUGCUCAACUUCCACAUAUAACAGGAUUGGCAGAAGGGAGAGAAAACAACUCAUUUGAAGGCAGUAAAGGGUAGGAUGUCUCUGUCUCUGUCUCUGUCUCUCUCUCUCUCUCACACACACACACACACACACACACACACAGAGUAGAGGAGGAUUCUCUGCAUGCAGAAACUCAAUUCAGAACAUUUUUCCCACAGAAAUAAUAAGAAACCAUGAUGGUAAAAGUAUAUAGUUUUCCUUCAUUAUGGGUUAAAAUAAGAGUUUGUGGGCUGGCCCGGGAAUACACCAUUUUAUAACAUCGUACACGUGGGAAACUUGCAUUCUGAAAUCUAGACAGCUGUUUUCAAAAGACACUAUGAGGGCUCAGUGCGUUGUGUGGGCCUGCGGCUGCCCACCCUCCGCAGAACCGUGCUCAGCAGUUUGGAGGCGAUGAGGAAGAAAGAGGCCUGCUUCCUGAUCUUGAGGCAUUUGCAGUCCACGUUGGGAGUCAGGGCCCACAGUGCAAAGAUGAUUAUUUCAAGGUAGAAAUGGCAUGUGGCCCCACUCCCAGGUAACAUUUUAAUACAUUCAUUUAUCUGUUCAUUCAGCAUCUGUUUCUUGACUUUAUAGUAAUUAUCUCUCUAUUUUUAUAGUCUAAAUGAUAUUUUCUAAUAUAAAUAAUACAUGAUUAUAGAAGAAUAUUAGAGCAAUACAGACUUCUCUGUAGUGACAAAAUCAGAAAGAACUUGAAUGUUGAUAACUGAAUGAUUGAAUAAACUGGGGUUGAUCCAUUCUGUGGGAUGUUAUGCACCAAUAAAAAAGAACAAAUUAAGAAUAUCUGUUGUUCUGGACAGGGGACCAGGAUGUAUUAUAAAGAAUGAAGAUCAAGAUGAAAAGAAAGGUUCCUAUUUUGAUCUCCUUUUUGCAAAGACAACAGUGGACACCCCCAAAAAAGUUUGAAUUCGAAAGGAUAAAGGUGUAGAUAUGAAGCUGUUAAUAAUGGUCACCUUAAGGACAGGCCUCUCACUGUUGUGGCCUCUCCCGCUGCGGAGCACAGGCUCUGGACGCGCAGGCUCAGCGGCCAUGGCUCACGGGCCCAACCACUCUGCGGCAUGUGGGAUCUUCCCGGACCGGGGCACAAACCUGCGUCCCCUGCGUCGGCAGGCGGACUCCCAACCACUGCGCCACCAGGGAAGCCCAAUAGACUCUUCUUGAGUGUCCACUAUGUUUAUGUCACUUCAGGGCCCUUCUGGUAAGAGUGCUUUAACCCAGAGCCACCUAAUAGACCCACGAUGGAGACACUUUUAAGCAGGCUGGCAUUUCACUUCCCUAUAAGGGCCUCCUGCUUUCCCUAUGGGAAAGGCCCGUCGUGGCCCUUUCUGUGUAUAUCUGCUACCUGAAAGGUAAGGAGGAGUUUCCUGAAGUGUAAAGCUGGGGGAAUGAAGGCUGUUGCUCUCAUGCCAGCCUGAGCCCUGCUCUUGUUAAGGGUUCUCUGCUUCACCCUGAUGGAUUCUCCUACAGCAUCUUACAGAACCAACACGGCUUCCCCUCCAGGCAGGCUGGAUGCAUUCACCGGAGGGAAGAAAACAGCUGCUGGAGUCUGGCCCACUGAAUACGCUUUGAGAAGGUGCUGUGUGCGUUUCUGUUCAACAUUACUGGUAUGUCCAUGAUAUCAGUUCAGUGGCCUCAGGACAAGUAGGGACCUUAGUCCAGUUUUCUCUGUACCUAUUCUGAGGAUUAUUCACCGAGUGAUAGGUGCCCAUUACAUCAGCAUGACACCUUCAUCAGUCAAGCACAAAAAUAAAUGAUUUCACGUGGUAAACAACGAAGCGUAGUAAGGAUACCAAAGAACGGCUCAGGCUUCCUGCAGGUAGUGGGAUUUGAGCUGUACCUUAAAGAAUAGGGUAAAAAUAAAUAAGCAAUUAAAACAACUAUACCCCAAUAAAAAAAAUUAAAAUAAAAAAAUGUUCACACAAUAAAUAAAUAAAUGAGAAAUUAAAAAUAGAUUUGUGUGUGUGUGUGUGUAUACUUAAUAGCCAGCUUUAAAAAUCCUUCACAGAAGCUUUCAGACUUUAAAACGUCCUCUCAUCCCACACAGAACACCCAUCUAACAAAUUCAUCUGGUCCUACAGUCCACGCCAGUUCUGUGUUUAGGCCAAAGGGAUUUUGUUGAAUUAUACAUUAAAUAUAUUGGUAUAGUUAGGAAACUAGUUUUUUCAGUUAAAAAGUGGAUAUGGGGGCAGAAAGACUCCUACAUCCAACAUGUGGAAGAAAUAUGUGCAUUUAAGAAGAUCGCUAAGGCAGCUCUUUGGCCUCUAAAACUAUAGGCUGAGAACUAUUUUCUUGGGAUACUUUAACUGAUUCCAUGGAAUGAAAGCGAAAGGUGACAGUCACCAGAUGAGUGCCUGCAGAUGUGAAUUCCUUGGACGCUCUUAGGUUAGGGCAUGUAUCAGCGGACGGGCUGAUGUAAUGUAGUGGUUCUGUCCAUGGCUACGUUCAGCAUGUACAGAAGAGUAGCCUCAAGUUAUUUGUUAAAUCAGCAUUCCGCUCACAAGUUACUUUAAUUACAUGGCUAUGAUGAUUCCAUGAUACCAGACAGCUGGUGAAAACUGAAGAAGAAAAAAUCUAAUGCUCAGAUGUUUAGCUUGUGGUCACGUAGGCAAAACACCUGUGCACUAAGCUAAUGUUUUAUCUAGAUGUUUGAUGACCUCUAACCCUUUUUCUAUAUACUUCAUUUCUUCCUGUUAGCCAGUAUAAAGCUCAGAUUAGAUUAAAAUUUAAUUUAUCUCCAAGUUUAGGCUUUAAUGAAACAAAAAUAAAGGAAUUAUAAGAGUGCUGUUUUCUGCUACAAAAAUGUGGGAGACUCUGGUUUCAGAAUGACAGAAUAAAGACAUACCCACCCAACCACCUUCUCUCAAAAUUCACCAAGAAACAUCAAGGAAAACAGGUAACAGAAAUGCAUAUCCAUCAUUCGGAAACUAGGAGAUGUCUGUGCCCACAGUACAUGGAGAGAGAAUUUGGAAAGAUGAAUAUCAAAGACUAAGCAGAGAGAAGGAAGGUCGAACCUUAGUGGCUGCAAAGGGAGUUGAGAAGUGAGCUACUUUUUCCAUACAGAACCCAGAAAAGCACAGGAAUGGGAAACUGGGCAGGGGGCAGCAGGAUUAAAUUGAUCCCUCCAGUUCUCCACCCCCACCCAGUUCCCAAGCAGUUUGUUGACCUCUCUUCUCCCUCCAGACUCUGAGGUGAGCAGAGGUGGAAUUCCAUCUGAAGCAAGAGAAUUGAGGGAGUCUGUGUGUGGAAGAGUGAAAUCUCCAUUUCUUUUCUACUGCUCGGACCCAGAACACCAACACCCAGAAUAAAAUUCCAAGAGAGGAGACUGGAGGGUGCUACCCCAGAGAAAAUACUUGUAAACAGUGAUAUUUGCAGGGCCUCGGUAAAAACAACAACUGGUCCCCCGAUCUGCCUCAGUGAAGACCACCAGUGUAUAAGACCAACACAUGUAUGCUGAGCUUCUGGUCAGGUGAGCUUUUUCGUGCCUUACUUUUAAGAGUGAACACUCAAGGGCCAAGAGACACUCUAAUAUAACCAUGAUGAAAAAAAAAACAGAACAAAGAACUCAGAGGAAACAAAGAUGGUGCAGGAAAGAAAAUGUCAAAAAAUGUUAAUGUCAUUAAAGAUGUGAGAGAAGAUAUUACAUCUACAAAAGAAGAAAAAAUGAUAUUAAAAGGAACAAUUAGAGAAUACAAAAGGUUUCCUAGAAAUUAAAAAUAUGAUGGAACAUUUUUUUAAUUCUAUAGAAUAACUGGAAGAUAAAGUCAAGUAAAUCUCAAUAUAAAGCAUAAUAAAAUAAUAAAGAAAUGGACAAUAGGAAAAAAUAAUAAAAAAUGGAUACUCACUGCAAGAGAUCCAGUAUCUAGUACAAAUUUUAGAAGAUGAGAACUGAGAUAACCGUGGACAGGAAAUUAGUAGAGGCAUAAGAAAAUUCCUCAGGAAAUUUUGAGGGACAUGAUUUGCCAAAUUUAAAAGGCACCCCAAUGUCUAACUCAAUAUGUAAAUGAAGAUAUGAUGUGAAGAUCUAUAUCAAGACAUCAUCACAAUUAAGAAAGGAAGGGAAAAAAAAAAAAAAGGAAGGGAUAGUUUGGCCAUGAAAGAGUAAUAAGGACUAGACUUGAACACCCAAGACUGGAACCUGCAGUGAACAACUAGAAAACUGGACAAAACAUAUGAAACAACAGUUUUUCAGGCAGCACAGGACAAUGAUCCUGGAGAAAAGGGAAUCAGAUGAAGUGAGCCCUGGGCUUUCUGUUGGAGGUGAUUUCCAUGCUGCAGCUGCAGGGAUGGGGGGACCCAAAUAGAAGCAGGGAAGAAACUGAGGAAACAAAGAUCAGACAUCAGAGAAGCUUAGAUAGAUGGAAGUUGAGAGGCAGAGUUCCCAAAAAGACGUAGUUACACAGAAAAAGAGCUCCAGAAAUUUGUACGGUCCCCUCUAGCGUUUGCUGAGUUCUGGACUAGGCAUGUGGAAACCAGAACUCCAAAAGGCUGGACAAAGAAUGACUGGGGCAUGGUAAACGAAAUAUUCCCAGAGCUUACACAGACCUUGGAAUUGAUCAAAUUCCCCACAGGCAGAAUGGAGAUGCCAAGCCAUUUAUGCCUCUCUGGUAGGGCUGAACAAACGCUGGAGCGGGGCUACUUUCCAUAUGUCUUAGAAAAAUUAAAAUCAGGUCUUGAAGGGAUAAAGCUGAAAUGCGAGUAAAACUAUUUGCCUAAACAAAUCCAAAAACUCAUUAAAAAUGAAAAAUCAAGCAAACAAGAACUCAGACAUUCAGCAACAUAAAAUACACAAUGUCUAAAAUCUAAUAAAAAAUUACUAAACAUGCCAAGAAGUAAGAAAACAUGACCCAUAAUCAAGAAAAAAAAGCAAUAGGAAUAGAUACAAAUAAAAGCCAGAUAUGAUGGAAGUAGAAGACAAAGAUUUUUUUAAAGAUCUUAUAAUUGUGAACACAUAUUUAAAGGAAAAUAUGAACCUAAUGAGAAAAAGAAAAGGAAGAUAUCAAAAAGAAAUAAAUUAAAAUUCUAAGAUAAAAAGUACACCAUCUGAAAGUUUAACUGGAUGAACGCAGAACCAGAUCUUGGUUUCUAAAUCCAUUCUCCAAUAAAAGAAACCAGGGCUUCUUGGAGAAAUGAGAUUCUAGAGCUGGGGCAGAGAAUAUACAGAAAGCAAGAAAGUUCUCAAAAAAACAAAAUGAUGGAGGCAUUGUCAAAGGAACAAAGGAGCCAAAUGAAAGACCUAUGCUGAGAGAGUUUGAACAAAAAAAAAACAAAAAAAGAAAGAAAAAGUAUUGGAUUAUAACUCAAAGUAUAAAAUAAAUAUUGAUGAGUCCAUACUAAUAAAAAUCAAUGAUAAUAAAUAAAUAAAUGCAAAUAUGCAUAUAGAAAAAUUUCAAAUAAUUUUAUGUAGGUCCUACUCCCUCAAGGAGGCAGAGCAUAAUUCUAAUCCCUUAAGUGUGGGAUGCGCCUAGUGAAUUCCUUCCAAAGAGACCAGUAUGGAAAUAGAGGCAAAGAUAACUUUAUAGUGGAGAAACCUGAGAAACUACCUCACCCAAGUGAUCAAAGUUAACAUCAUCAGUGAUAAAUCAUGUUGGUAGCAUGAACCCUAAAUAUGAUGUAAUGAAAAUGACUCAGUGGCCUUUGUAUCAAAAAUCCAUAACUACAAUGUGGUAGGCAGAAUAAUGGCUCCCAAAAUGUCCAUAUUCUAAACCCCAGAAUAUAUUACCUUAUGGGAAAAGAGACUUUGCAGAUGAGAUUAAGGAUAGGGACCUUGAGAUCCAGAGAUUCCCUGGAUUAUCUGGGUGAACCCAGUCUAAUCACAUGAGUCCUUAAAAGUGGAGACCUUUUACUGUCCUGUCGCCAGAGACAGAGAGAGAUGUGACGAUGGUAGCAGGUCAGAGAUGGAAGGUCAGAGAGAGUUGCUCGGUUUGUAGAAGGAGGAAGGGACCCCCAGCCAAGGGGUUGUAGAUGGCCUCUAGAAGCUAAGACAAGGACACACAAUCCCCCAGAACUUCCGGAGAGGAAUGCAGCCCUCUGACACUUUGAUUUUGACCCAGUGAGACUCACGUCGGACUUCUGACCUACAGAAUUGUAAGUAAUAUAUUUGUGUUGUAUUGUUUAAGCCACUGAGUUUGUAGUAAUUUAUUACCACAGCAAAAAAAAAAAACUAAUACACUCAGUCUAACCAUGAGGAAAACAUCAGACCAACCCAAACUGAGGGUCAUUCUGCAAAAUACCUCCUCAAAACUCUCAAAGGCAUCCAGAACAAAAAAGUAUGAGAAACUGUCACAACCUAGCGAAGCCUAAGGAGGCAUGAUAACUACAUGUAAUGUGGCAUCCUAGAGGUGAAAAAGGACAUUAGGUAAAAACUAAGGAAAUCUGAAUAAAGUAUGGACUUUAGUUAAUAGUAAUAUACUAACGUUGGUUCAUUAGCUGUAACAAAUGUCACAGUAAUGUAAAAUGUUAGCAAUAAGGGAAACUGGGUGAGGAGUAUACAGGAACUCUGUACUAUCUUUGCAGUUUUUCUGUAAAUCUAAGACUCUUCUCAAAUAAAAGUUUAUUUCAAAAAAAUUCACUGGAUAGGAAUAGCAGCAGAUUAGGCACAAAAGGCCAGGGAAUAUGAAGUGAUAGCAAUACAAUCUAUCCACAAUGAAGCACAGAGAUAAAAAAAAAAAAAAAGACUGAAAGAAAAUGAAAAUAAA